Molecule: long non-coding RNA, 858 nt
Filed under: Vigna radiata
Lineage: Eukaryota; Viridiplantae; Streptophyta; Magnoliopsida; Fabales; Fabaceae
Description: long non-coding RNA (VRAD_LNC012701)
Source: RNAcentral
GAAAGCUGGAAUAUAUAAAAGGAAAGGUGUGCAACACCACCACCAGAGCACACUGCAGGCGACACCCACAUCUUGGAAAGCUGGCAACAAAGGCCCAAGGCUUUCAUACAGCACACGGCUCAGCAAAAUUAUUAAGCAUCUAGCAACUUUGAAAAAGGAGGUGCACAUGGAAAACANCUCCAGCAUUCACGUGAAGCUUGGACAACAUCACGUCAAGGUCCUGCAGCUUCACGCGUCCAGAUCCAACAGCGGGGUGCACUUGGUGGCAGCAGUUAGCUCACGGUCCAGGUCUUCACAGCAACAUCCAGCAGCUUCAUUCCUACAGCCCUACAACAACCUUGCACACCUCACGGUCCAGUUGCUUGGAGAAAAAAAAAGCAGCAGCUAGUCCAAUACGCUGGCAGCUUGAAGCAGCACCGCAGCCCACCUUUGAUGUGAUCCAGCAGCUUCCAACUUCAUGUCCAGCACGUACACGCACUUGACAAAAUCAGCAGCAGUCCACCUAGCANCUACUGCAGUUCACGUCAUGGCCCAUCAUCAUCCAAGUCCANCAGCUUCUGAAAUGCCACGGUCUGCACACGUGAAGAAGCAUAAGGAGGUGUGUCCANCAAUUAAACAUCUAGCAGCAGCCCAGCACUUGAAGGUUGGAACGCAGAUCCAGCUGAGCCUUUAGCAAGCAUCUCCAACACAUCCACGUUGCAGCAGUAGAGGUCACAGCCCAUAGAAAGGAGGUGUGUUCUUGGAGAGAAUGCAGUGUGCAGCCANCAAAGAAGUUGCUACAUUCACGGCCCAAAGCUGGCAGACGGAGGAUGACACAAAAAACCUAAGGAGAUUCCUAGGAUAGGGGGACUAUUACGU